RNAcentral lists this ribosomal RNA (441 nucleotides) under uncultured bacterium. RNAcentral describes it as "partial 16S ribosomal RNA". It matches the Rfam family "Bacterial small subunit ribosomal RNA", at positions 338 to 795 of the family's 1533-position model. The record is from RNAcentral.
CCUACGGGUGGCAGCAGUGGGGAAUAUUGCGCAAUGGGGGAAACCCUGACGCAGCAACGCCGCGUGAGUGAGGAAGUAUCUCGGUAUGUAAAGCUCUAUCAGCGGGGAAGAAAGAGGACGGUACCCGACUAAGAAGCCCCGGCUAACUACGUGCCAGCAGCCGCGGUAAUACGUAGGGGGCGAGCGUUAUCCGGAUUUACUGGGUGUAAAGGGAGCGUAGACGGCAGAGCAAGUCUGAAGUGAAAGCCCGCGGCUCAACUGCGGGACUGCUUUGGAAACUGCCCGGCUAGAGUGCUGGAGAGGUAAGCGGAAUUCCUAGUGUAGCGGUGAAAUGCGUAGAUAUUAUGAGGAACACCAGUGGCGAAGGCGGCUUACUGGACAGUAACUGACGUUGAGGCUCGAAGGCGUGGGGAGCAAACAGGAUUAGAUACCCUGGUAGUC